GGUGGUGGCUUAAUGGUAAAGUGCUUGUCUGGCAUGCUUGAGACCCUGGGAUCAAUCCCCAGCACCU
RNAcentral lists this transfer RNA (67 nucleotides) under Marmota monax (woodchuck). RNAcentral describes it as "tRNA.Ala". It matches the Rfam family "tRNA". From Rfam's summary of the family: Transfer RNA (tRNA) molecules are approximately 80 nucleotides in length. Their secondary structure includes four short double-helical elements and three loops (D, anti-codon, and T loops). The record is from RNAcentral. Lineage: Eukaryota; Metazoa; Chordata; Mammalia; Rodentia; Sciuridae.